Molecule: long non-coding RNA, 916 nt
Filed under: Rattus norvegicus (Norway rat)
Lineage: Eukaryota; Metazoa; Chordata; Mammalia; Rodentia; Muridae
Description: long non-coding RNA NONRATT019078
Source: RNAcentral
AGCACUCCUGACUUUAGAGAAUUCUCUAGGCUAGUUUACCAGUCUAAGCUGUAUUGGCCUCUCCUGGCCCAGGUCAGGGCACUCCCUAAAGGGCCCAACCAUGGUACGAGUCACAUGGGUUACUGCUCACUACAUGAACACUGAGAACAAGCCUGGACCGUCUCCAAGUUCCUCUGUUGCUUAGAUCACCGUAAUCCAGUCAGGGUCGAGGUUGCUCCUGUGCCGGGAGGCCUGUCCCCAGAGUGUUCACCAAGACUGUGACACCGCUGGCUUCUGCUACCUGUCUCUGCAGAGAAUGGAGUAGCAGAUGCCCUGGCCCAGCCUCCCGUGCAGCAGGGACAUCCCUCGUGAUCUCAGGUGGCCUCUGUGCUGGAAGACGCUGCACUAGGGAGGCCGAUACCAUGUCCCGGGAAGGCUGACAAAUCCCCACAGAAGCCACAUCCACUUGGCAGAUUUUUUUAUUUUUGGGUAAAACAAAACAAACGUACCUCUCGGGUUGGAAAGGACCCGUGAACAACAUGGCAAACACGUGUAAGCAAUAAAUAUGCAUGUACAUUCAAGUAUGCGGGCGGCCACCGUGUCCCGCCCGAGACCCUGUGCUCUGGUUUCCGCUUCUGCCCUCAGAGUGAUGGUGUCUCUCUCUCUCAGAAGUUGGGUCCCCAGUUGCCCUUGCCCUGGCUCCCUCCUAGGCUACAGGGUAAGAGGCUCUGGGUUAGAAGGUUGUACAGAGCCCUCCAGGAGGGCUGCCUAUAGUGCCUGCAGGCAAGAAAUAGGACCACGGUCCCCAAGGGUCUAUCUCAUGGAUGUAGUUCUCAGUUCUGCCUGAGUCUCUCCACCCCAGCUAUAGUGCCCUAUGUCCAACUCAGAUAUUGCAGCUGGACCCCUCCUUGGGGAGAAAGCCAAGAUACCAUCUCCC